UAUAAGGCAAAAAAAAGAGACACUGGCUACUUUUACAUCCUUAAAGUGGACUCCAGGAAUGUCACCAACAGCAUGACCUUUGGAACCAAAUCCAGCAACCAGAACUUCAUCAUUUUCCUCAAUAAAAUUCAAGCAACCGUCUCUGGGUACAAAAGGCUGUGGUUUUUUGCCAUUCUUGGUGAAGUGAACCCUGACACAUUUCCUGAUGGCAGAAUUUGGCUAUUUGGCUUCAAUCCCUAUUUUUUUCGAGCACAAUUCUCUUGGCAUGAGAAGUGCAUCCAAAAGGGUUGGCCUUCAGGGCUGUGCCCAAAUGGGCUUUCUUGUACUGUUACCAUGCCGCUUCUGGGCUUGUCGGUGGCUACAGAGUUUCCUGGCAAAGACUACGACGCUUGCUCAUCCUACCAGCAUUGUGGGCCUG
RNAcentral lists this long non-coding RNA (418 nucleotides) under Bos taurus (domestic cattle). Its description in RNAcentral is "long non-coding RNA NONBTAT004739". Lineage: Eukaryota; Metazoa; Chordata; Mammalia; Artiodactyla; Bovidae. The record is from RNAcentral.